GUGCUUGCACCUUAUCUUAGCGGCGGCCCUUUGAGUGAUGCUUAGGAAUCUGCCUAUUAGUGGGGGACAACCUUUCGAAAGGAAUGCUAAUACCGCAUACGUCCUACGGGAGAAAGCAGGGGAUCUUCGGACCUUGCGCUAAUAGAUGAGCCUAAGUCGGAUUAGCUAGUUGGUGGGGUAAAGGCCUACCAAGGCGACGAUCUGUAGCGGGUCUGAGAGGAUGAUCCGCCACACUGGGACUGAGACACGGCCCAGACUCCUACGGGAGGCAGCAGUGGGGAAUAUUGGACAAUGGGGGGAACCCUGAUCCAGCCAUGCCGCGUGUGUGAAGAAGGCCUUAUGGUUGUAAAGCACUUUAAGCGAGGAGGAGGCUACUGAGACUAAUACUCUUGGAUAGUGGACGUUACUCGCAGAAUAAGCACCGGCUAACUCUGUGCCAGCAGCCGCGGUAAUACAGAGGGUGCGAGCGUUAAUCGGAUUUACUGGGCGUAAAGCGUGCGUAGGCGGCUUUUUAAGUCGGAUGUGAAAUCCCCGAGCUUAACUUGGGAAUUGCAUUCGAUACUGGGAAGCUAGAGUAUGGGAGAGGAUGGUAGAAUUCCAGGUGUAGCGGUGAAAUGCGUAGAGAUCUGGAGGAAUACCGAUGGCGAAGGCAGCCAUCUGGCCUAAUACUGACGCUGAGGUACGAAAGCAUGGGGAGCAAACAGGAUUAGAUACCCUGGUAGUCCAUGCCGUA
RNAcentral lists this ribosomal RNA (733 nucleotides) under Bacillus pumilus. RNAcentral describes it as "bacterial SSU rRNA". It matches the Rfam family "Bacterial small subunit ribosomal RNA", at positions 76 to 804 of the family's 1533-position model. Lineage: Bacteria; Bacillati; Bacillota; Bacilli; Caryophanales; Bacillaceae. The record is from RNAcentral.